AUACGGAGGGGACAAGCGUUAUUCGGAAUCACUGGGCGUAAAGGACGCGUAGGCGGGUUAUUAAGUCGGGUGUGAAAUCCAAUGGCUCAACCAUUGAACUGCAUUCGAAACUGAUAACCUAGAGUAUGGAAGGGGCAGGUGGAAUUAGCGGUGUAGGGGUAAAAUCCGUAGAUAUCACUAGGAAUACCGAAAGCGAAGGCGACCUGCUGGGACAUUACUGACGCUGAGGCGUGAAAGCGUGGGUAGCAAACAGGAUUAGAUACCCCGGUAGUCC
Molecule: ribosomal RNA, 274 nt
Filed under: uncultured bacterium
Lineage: Bacteria
Description: partial 16S ribosomal RNA
Rfam family: Bacterial small subunit ribosomal RNA
Source: RNAcentral